Molecule: RNA transcript, 1945 nt
Organism: Cucurbita maxima (winter squash)
Lineage: Eukaryota; Viridiplantae; Streptophyta; Magnoliopsida; Cucurbitales; Cucurbitaceae
Gene name: protein ALP1-like
Exons: 2
Source: RefSeq, a predicted model, not a curated record
AAUGAUGAACCCUAAAUUGGAAGGAUUGUGAAAGGGGGAGAGAUUUGGAAGCAUUUGGGAUCCCAAAUAAAGAACGAAAUUGGAAAGCCACGUGAAACCAAAAAACAGAGUCGAGACUGGAGAGCGUAGUCCGAGCAAGCCGCCAGGUGUUCCUAUGGCGUAAUUUGUACAAGAUUCACGCCUUCCACGUCCGGCGCUGACAAAACAACGAACACCAAUCCCUUCCUCGCGCUCUGCUCGAUUCCCGAGAGAAUCGAAUCCCAAUUCCGACCCUCCACGCUGCAAUUCUCUGUGACUGCGAACUGACAGUCACCCAUUAAUGGAUUCCCGGCAAUUGGCUGCUUUACUCUCUUCUUUGAUCUCCCAACUACUCCUCCUGCUAUUGCUUCUCUUCCCUUCCUCCAACCCACAUUCUCUUUUGUCCAAUUCUUCAUCUGAUUCCAAUUUCUAUGCUAAUCUCUUUCCUCUCUUCAAUCACUUCCUGUUUUCCCAGCAAAUUGCUGCAUCCCUUUCGUUUCUCUCCGUUUCGCGUAAGAGGAAGAGGACGCAUUCGUCGGAGCUGCUUGAAUUAGGGCCAUCCGAUAGCGGUGGUGAGGACGGCGGCCGUGGACGAGUUCAUCUGUUGCGGACUCGGAGUCCUGAUUCUUUCAGGAAUCACUUUCGGAUGACCUCCUCGACGUUUGAAUGGCUCUCUGGUUUGCUCGAGCCGCUUCUCGAGUGUCGUGACCCGGUAGGUUCGCCUCUUGAUCUCUCCGCUGAGAUUCGACUCGGUGUUGGCUUGUCCCGGCUGGCCACAGGCUGCGAUUUCUCGACGAUUUCGGACCAAUUUGGCGUCUCGGAGUCGGUAGCGAGGUUCUGUGCUAAGCAAUUGUGUCGUGUUCUCUGCACUAAUUUUCGCUUUUGGGUUGAAUUCCCUUGCCCCAGUGAGCUCGAAUUAACAUCCUCAGCCUUUGAAGAUAUUGCUGGGCUUCCGAAUUGCUGUGGCGUGAUUUCUUGUACAAGGUUCAAGAUCAUUAGAAAUACCAAUUUUUAUGAAGAUAGCAUCGCUACUCAACUUGUUGUUGAUUCCUCGUCACGAAUCCUUAGUAUUGUUGCAGGAUUUCGUGGCGAUAAAGACGACUCCACGGUGCUUAUGUCCACAACGCUGUUUAAAGACAUUGAAGAAGAAAGGCUACUGGGUUCUCCUCCUGUUUACCUUCAUGGGGUGGCUGUGAAUCAAUACUUGUUUGGACAUGGCGACUAUCCUUUGCUUCCAUGGUUAAUGGUGCCUUUUGCAGGAGCUGUUUCAGGGUCAACUGAAGAGAGUUUCAAUGAAGCUCAUCGCUUGAUGUCCAUUCCAGCUCUGAAAGCCAUCAUUAGUUUGAGAAAUUGGGGAGUUUUGAGCCAACCAAUGCAUGAGGAAUUCAAAACUGCUGUUGCAUACAUUGGUGCUUGCUCAAUUCUUCACAAUGCUUUGUUGAUGAGGGAGGAUUUUACUGCCAUGGCUGAUGAAUGGGAGAGCUUAGCUUCACUCGAUCAUAGCUCUCAGUAUGUUGGUAUUGGAUUGAAUGAGGAUUCACCUGAUGAGAAGGCUUCUAUGAUACAGAAGGCCUUGGCUCUGAGAGCUAGAGAGCUUCACACUUAAAAUUUCAAGCUCAAGAAUCCAGUUGAUUGGUGGAAUAAGUACAGAUCAUUUGAAAGAGACUUCAUCUCUUAGGAUAUUUAUUGAAGGCAGCUCAUCCAGCUUCAUUCAACAAUUACUAUUGUAGGAAUUUGAUGGAACAACUGAAAAUAAGGCUUUUGGUAGAGCAGAGAAAGCAAGAGAAGAUCAGUGCCAAUAGUUUGAACUCAAGACCCAAGAAGUAUUUUCAUAUUCCUAGUUCUUUUUUUUUUUUAGUUGAAAUGGGACGUUUCAAACUUCUAACCUCUUGAUCGAGGAUAUAUAUCUUAAUCAGUUAAGUGUUGC